RNAcentral lists this ribosomal RNA (465 nucleotides) under uncultured Alcanivorax sp. RNAcentral's name for it is "bacterial SSU rRNA". It matches the Rfam family "Bacterial small subunit ribosomal RNA", at positions 338 to 795 of the family's 1533-position model. The record is from RNAcentral. Lineage: Bacteria; Pseudomonadati; Pseudomonadota; Gammaproteobacteria; Oceanospirillales; Alcanivoracaceae.
CCUACGGGAGGCAGCAGUGGGGAAUCUUGGACAAUGGGGGCAACCCUGAUCCAGCCAUGCCGCGUGUGUGAAGAAGGCCUUCGGGUUGUAAAGCACUUUCAGCAGGGAGGAAGGCUUACCCCUAAUACGGGUGAGUACUUGACGUUACCUGCAGAAGAAGCACCGGCUAAUUUCGUGCCAGCAGCCGCGGUAAUACGAAAGGUGCAAGCGUUAAUCGGAAUUACUGGGCGUAAAGCGCGCGUAGGCGGUGUGUUAAGUCGGAUGUGAAAGCCCAGGGCUCAACCUUGGAAUUGCAUCCGAUACUGGCACGCUAGAGUGCAGUAGAGGGAGGUGGAAUGUCCGGUGUAGAGGUGAAAUGCGUAGAGAUCGGAAGGAACACCAGUGGCGAAGGCGGCCUCCUGGACUGACACUGACGCUGAGGUGCGAAAGCGUGGGGAGCAAACAGGAUUAGAUACCCUAGUAGUC